Long non-coding RNA from Panicum virgatum (switchgrass), 383 nucleotides. RefSeq lists it as uncharacterized. The transcript is spliced from 2 exons. Lineage: Eukaryota; Viridiplantae; Streptophyta; Magnoliopsida; Poales; Poaceae. The record is from RefSeq and is a predicted model, not a curated record.
GACAUUGGCUUUUUCAUGGUCCUUCUGAACAUUUAGAAGGCUAGUUUGUCUUUGUUAGUUAAGCUUCUGAUCUUUCAUUUUCUAAAGGAAAAAAAAAACAGCAUACCAUGAGGUUAUGCCAGAGGUUACUAAUAUUCUACUAUAAAUUACAGUUCUUGUGGGUGAAGUAUGGGAAACCUUUUUACAUGACCUACGUUCCUUGCAGUUUGGAUUCUGUUAGAAUUAUAGAUAGAGUUCAACUGUGUCAUACUGCAAUAUGGAUGCUUUUCUUAAAGCUAAGGGACAACUGCCAACUAAUCACAUGCCUGCUGUUCUAAAAAAUCUGUAGUCUGUACUCAGCAUUCACCAUUCAAGCUUGUUAACUUGUAACAAUGAUAAUCCAU